GACGAACGCUGGCGGCGUGCUUAACACAUGCAAGUCGAACGGAAAGGCCCUGCUUUUGUGGGGUGCUCGAGUGGCGAACGGGUGAGUAACACGUGAGUAACCUGCCCUUGACUUUGGGAUAACUUCAGGAAACUGGGGCUAAUACCGGAUAGGAGCUCCUGCUGCAUGGUGGGGUUUGGAAAGUUUCGGCGGUUGGGGAUGGACUCGCGGCUUAUCAGCUUGUUGGUGGGGUAGUGGCUUACCAAGGCUUUGACGGGUAGCCGGCCUGAGAGGGUGACCGGCCACAUUGGGACUGAGAUACUGCCCAGACUCCUACGGGAGGCAGCAGUGGGGAAUAUUGCACAAUGGGCGGAAGCCUGAUGCAGCAACGCCGCGUGCGGGAUGACGGCCUUCGGGUUGUAAACCGCUUUCGCCUGUGACGAAGCGUGAGUGACGGUAAUGGGUAAAGAAGCACCGGCUAACUACGUG
RNAcentral lists this ribosomal RNA (468 nucleotides) under uncultured bacterium. RNAcentral describes it as "partial 16S ribosomal RNA". It matches the Rfam family "Bacterial small subunit ribosomal RNA", at positions 28 to 507 of the family's 1533-position model. The record is from RNAcentral.